This 250-nucleotide ribosomal RNA is filed under the name uncultured bacterium. RNAcentral's name for it is "partial 16S ribosomal RNA". It matches the Rfam family "Bacterial small subunit ribosomal RNA", at positions 355 to 622 of the family's 1533-position model. The record is from RNAcentral.
UUAGGAAUCUUGCGCAAUGGGGGAAACCCUGACGCAGCCAUGCCGCGUGAAUGAUGAAGGUCUUAGGAUUGUAAAAUUCUUUCAGCGGGGACGAUAAUGACGGUACCCGCAGAAGAAGCCCCGGCUAACUUCGUGCCAGCAGCCGCGGUAAUACGAAGGGGGCUAGCGUUGCUCGGAAUUACUGGGCGUAAAGGGCGCGUAGGCGGAUGUUUAAGUCAGAGGUAAAAGCCCAGGGCUCAACCUUGGAACU